Molecule: ribosomal RNA, 453 nt
Filed under: uncultured Porphyromonadaceae bacterium
Lineage: Bacteria; Pseudomonadati; Bacteroidota; Bacteroidia; Bacteroidales; Porphyromonadaceae
Description: partial 16S ribosomal RNA
Rfam family: Bacterial small subunit ribosomal RNA
Source: RNAcentral
ACGGAAGGCAGCAGUGAGGAAUAUUGGUCAAUGGGCGAGAGCCUGAACCAGCCAAGUCGCGUGAAGGAUGAAGGUUCUAUGGAUUGUAAACUUCUUUUGUUCGAGGGUAAAGUGAGGGAUGCGUCCCUUAUUGCAAGUAUCGAACGAAUAAGCAUCGGCUAACUCCGUGCCAGCAGCCGCGGUAAUACGGAGGAUGCGAGCGUUAUCCGGAUUUAUUGGGUUUAAAGGGUGCGUAGGCGGGAUGUUAAGUCAGCGGGGAAAGCGUGUAGCUCAACUAUACCAAGCCGUUGAAACUGGCGUUCUUGAGUGUAAACGAGGUAGGCGGAAUGUGACGUGUAGCGGUGAAAUGCUUAGAUAUGUCACAGAACCCCGAUUGCGAAGGCAGCUUACCAGCAUACAACUGACGCUGAGGCACGAAAGUGCGGGGAUCAAACAGGAUUAGAUACCCUGGUA